Lyngbya sp. PCC 8106 is the source of this 52-nucleotide non-coding RNA. The record is from Rfam. Lineage: Bacteria; Bacillati; Cyanobacteriota; Cyanophyceae; Oscillatoriales; Microcoleaceae.
GAGUAGAUGCACCCUGAUGGUUAUCCCCUAGCUUCGGUUAGGGGAUUUUUUU